AACGUAGGACGCAAGCGUUAUCCGGAGUUACUGGGCGUAAAGCGCGGGCAGGCGGCCCGUUCAGUCUGAGGUGAAAGCGCCCGGCUCAACCGGGCGAGGCCCUUGGAAACUGGCGGGCUGGAGGGCAGUAGAGGUAGGCGGAAUUCCGGGUGGAGUGGUGAAAUGCGUAGAGAUCCGGAGGAACACCAGAGGCGAAGGCGGACUGCUGGGCGGAACCUGACGCUGAGACGCGAAAGCCAGGGGAGCGAACGGG
Molecule: ribosomal RNA, 253 nt
Filed under: uncultured bacterium
Lineage: Bacteria
Description: partial 16S ribosomal RNA
Rfam family: Bacterial small subunit ribosomal RNA
Source: RNAcentral